GGGCUAAUGAUGAGAAAUACAAUUAUCUUAGCGGAUUUCAGUGAGAUUACUUACUUGUAAUCAAUGAUCUGAUUGUUACACACAUUGAAGCUCUUAGUAAUUUUUUUUAAUAAAAUGGGAUGUAAAUAAUAAUAAUAAUAGCAGUGAUGAGGCAAAACACAUGAGGAUGUGUUUAGGGAAGUGGACAAUACAAUGGAAGUUGUGUUGCCGUGAUCCCCAAUUUAAACGACUUCUCCUUCCACUGAGCUUU
RNAcentral lists this long non-coding RNA (250 nucleotides) under Helianthus annuus (common sunflower). Its description in RNAcentral is "sRNA HanXRQr2_Chr17g0807711". The stretch from base 1 to 93 matches the Rfam family "Small nucleolar RNA R11/Z151". Lineage: Eukaryota; Viridiplantae; Streptophyta; Magnoliopsida; Asterales; Asteraceae. The record is from RNAcentral.